This 76-nucleotide transfer RNA is filed under the name Mesorhizobium sp. RNAcentral describes it as "tRNA-Thr". It matches the Rfam family "tRNA". Rfam says of the family: Transfer RNA (tRNA) molecules are approximately 80 nucleotides in length. Their secondary structure includes four short double-helical elements and three loops (D, anti-codon, and T loops). Further hydrogen bonds mediate the characteristic L-shaped molecular structure. tRNAs have two regions of fundamental functional importance: the anti-codon, which is responsible for specific mRNA codon recognition, and the 3' end, to which the tRNAs corresponding amino acid is attached (by aminoacyl-tRNA synthetases). tRNAs cope with the degeneracy of the genetic code in two manners: having more than one tRNA (with a specific anti-codon) for a particular amino acid; and 'wobble' base-pairing, i.e. permitting non-standard base-pairing at the 3rd anti-codon position. The record is from RNAcentral. RNAcentral also lists the same sequence under 3 other names. Lineage: Bacteria; Pseudomonadati; Pseudomonadota; Alphaproteobacteria; Hyphomicrobiales; Phyllobacteriaceae.
GCCGCUUUAGCUCAGUUGGUAGAGCAUCGCAUUCGUAAUGCGAGGGUCGCGUGUUCGAGUCACGCAAGCGGCACCA